AGUUGGUGGAGUGAUUUGUCUGGUUGAUUCCGUUAACGAACGAGACCUCGACCUGCUAAAUAGAGCACUCCUAUGGGUCUCCAUAGGCUGAUCUUCUUAGAGGGACAACGUGCGCAAGCACGUGGAAGUUCGAGGCAAUAACAGGU
RNAcentral lists this ribosomal RNA (146 nucleotides) under uncultured eukaryote. RNAcentral describes it as "partial small subunit ribosomal RNA". It matches the Rfam family "Eukaryotic small subunit ribosomal RNA", at positions 1296 to 1461 of the family's 1831-position model. The record is from RNAcentral.